GAAAAGAACUUUGAAGAGAGAGUUCAAGAGNNNGUGAAACCGUUCAGGGGUAAACCUGAGAAACCCAAAAGAUCGAAUGGGGAGAUUCAUCGACGACGAAGCUGGCUCCCGUUGGCGUGCGAUUCCCCCGUUGGGACCUCGGUUCCAGAACGCGGGGUACACCCCUUCGGCGAAUAACCGGCGACGUAGUCGUGCACUUCUCCCUUAGUAGAACGUCGCGACCCGUUGUGUGUCGGUCUACGGCCUGGGCUAUUUGCCUGUCGCGGUGGCAUUCGUUCGCUCGCGGCAGAGGCUCGGUCGCCCGGCCGGCUGCACGACGGUACUCCGACGGUAUCGGGCCGCAACCAAUCCAUUCUCGAAUGGUAUAUGCGUCCAGGCCCGUCGCAAGCUCGGACAGCACCCGGAGCGUGUGGACGCAGCGCCCUCCCCGGGUCUGGCCAGCUGUUAGCAGACGGUGUCCUCGGACCGGCCAAGCUUCGAAUUACCGGUCAGCGACGCUAUUGCUUUGGGUACUCUCAGGACCCGUCUUGAAACACGGACCAAGGAGUCUAACAUGUGCGCGAGUCAUUGGGACAUUGAAACCUAAAGGCGGAAAUGAAAGUGAAAGUCGUCGUAAGCGUCGACCAAGGGAGGAUGGGCCGCGUCACGUCGCGGCCUCGCACUCCCGGGGCGUCUCGUUCUCGUUGAGAAGAGGCGCACCCAGAGCGUACACGUU
RNAcentral lists this ribosomal RNA (715 nucleotides) under Colletes annejohnae. RNAcentral's name for it is "eukaryotic LSU rRNA". It matches the Rfam family "Eukaryotic large subunit ribosomal RNA", at positions 366 to 810 of the family's 3401-position model. The record is from RNAcentral. Lineage: Eukaryota; Metazoa; Arthropoda; Insecta; Hymenoptera; Colletidae.